CCUACGGGUGGCAGCAGUCGAGAAUCAUUCACAAUGGGGGAAACCCUGAUGGUGCGACGCCGCGUGGGUGAAGGAGUGUCUCGGUAUGUAAAGCCCUAUCAGCAGGGAAGAAAAUGACGAUACCUGACUAAGAAGCCCCGGCUAACUACGUGCCAGCAGCCGCGGUAAUACGUAGGGGGCGAGCGUUAUCCGGAUUUACUGGGUGUAAAGGGAGCGCAGACGGUGAUGCAAGUAUGAUGUGAAAGGCCGGGGCUCAACCGCGGCACUGCUUUGGAAACUGCGGGACUGGAGUGCAGGAGGGGCAAGCGGAAUUCCUGGUGUAGCGGUGAAAUGCGUAGAUAUCAGGAGGAACACCAGUGGCGAAGGCGGCUUGCUGGACAGUAACUGACGUUGAGGCCCGAAAGCGUGGGGAGCAAACAGGAUUAGAUACCCGAGUAGUC
RNAcentral lists this ribosomal RNA (440 nucleotides) under uncultured bacterium. RNAcentral describes it as "partial 16S ribosomal RNA". It matches the Rfam family "Bacterial small subunit ribosomal RNA", at positions 338 to 795 of the family's 1533-position model. The record is from RNAcentral.